UACGGAGGGUGCGAGCGUUGUCCGGAAUCACUGGGCGUAAAGGGUGCGUAGGUGGCUAGGUAAGUCGGAUGUGAAAUCCCGGGGCUCAACCCCGGAACUGCAUUCGAUACUGCCUGGCUAGAGUACUGGAGAGGAGAUUGGAAUUUACGGUGUAGCAGUGAAAUGCGUAGAUAUCGUAAGGAAGACCAGUGGCGAAGGCGGAUCUCUGGACAGUUACUGACACUGAGGCACGAAGGCCAGGGGAGCAAACGGG
RNAcentral lists this ribosomal RNA (253 nucleotides) under uncultured bacterium. RNAcentral describes it as "partial 16S ribosomal RNA". It matches the Rfam family "Bacterial small subunit ribosomal RNA", at positions 524 to 776 of the family's 1533-position model. The record is from RNAcentral.